CCACGACAGCAUGAGCAAAUCUAUGAUGAAUGCUACUAGUAUUUGAAAGACUUUCAUUCUAUUUCCAUUAGUCAUUAUAGUAGGGAUUUUAAUGUUGUGGCUCAUGAGCUAGCUAGGUAAGCUUUGAUAGGCAAAAAUUCUUUUGUUUGGAUAAAUGACCUUCCUGCCUACAUUUGGUAAUUGUUUGUAAAUGAUGUAACCAUCUUGUCAAAAAAAUAAAAAGAAAAACUGAGUACUCCGAAAGCAUAGGGGACCCGGCUCCUCAAGGCACCGAGCUAAUAAAUGAGCAGAGGGACUCGGACGACCCUAACAUAGUGACACAUAUAUUUCUUAAAAUUGAAGGAGAUGGUCCUGACGCAACAUCAACAUGUGUAAUAGUAGAUACACUAC
RNAcentral lists this long non-coding RNA (390 nucleotides) under Sorghum bicolor (sorghum). RNAcentral describes it as "long non-coding RNA (SBIC_LNC011361)". Lineage: Eukaryota; Viridiplantae; Streptophyta; Magnoliopsida; Poales; Poaceae. The record is from RNAcentral.